GACGGAGGAGGCUAGCGUUGUUCGGAAUUACUGGGCGUAAAGCGUGCGCAGGUUGUGAGAUCAGUUGGAUGUGAAAGCCCGGGGCUUAACCUCGGAUGUGCAUCCAAUACUGUCUCGCUGGAGGUUGGAAGAGGAGAGUGGAAUUCCCAGUGUAGAGGUGAAAUUCGUAGAUAUUGGGAAGAACACCAGUGGCGAAGGCGGCUCUCUGGUCCAUACCUGACACUCAUGCACGAAAGCGUGGGGAGCAAACAGGAUUAGAUACCCUGGUAGUCCACGCUGUAAACGAUGUGUGCUAGACGUCGGGAGGCUUGCCUCUCGGUGUCGAAGCUAACGCGAUAAGCACACCGCCUGGGGAGUACGGCCGCAAGGUUAAA
RNAcentral lists this ribosomal RNA (374 nucleotides) under uncultured bacterium. Its description in RNAcentral is "bacterial SSU rRNA". It matches the Rfam family "Bacterial small subunit ribosomal RNA", at positions 524 to 898 of the family's 1533-position model. The record is from RNAcentral.